This 512-nucleotide ribosomal RNA is filed under the name uncultured bacterium. Its description in RNAcentral is "partial 16S ribosomal RNA". It matches the Rfam family "Bacterial small subunit ribosomal RNA", at positions 28 to 507 of the family's 1533-position model. The record is from RNAcentral.
GAUGAACGCUGGCGGCGUGCCUAAUACAUGCAAGUCGAACGAAACUUCUUUAUCACCGAGUGCUUGCACUCACCGAUAAAGAGUUGAGUGGCGAACGGGUGAGUAACACGUGGGCAACCUGCCCAAAAGAGGGGGAUAACACUUGGAAACAGGUGCUAAUACCGCAUAACCAUAGUUACCGCAUGGUAACUAUGUAAAAGGUGGCUAUACUACCGCUUUUGGAUGGGCCCGCGGCGCAUUAGCUAGUUGGUAGGGUAAAGGCUUACCAAGGCAAUGAUGCGUAGCCGAAUUGAGAGGUUGAUCGGCCACAUUGGGACUGAGACACGGCCCAAACUCCUACGGGAGGCGGCAGUAGGGAAUCUUCCACAAUGGGCGAAAGCCUGAUGGAGCAACGCCGCGUGGGUGAAGAAGGUCUUCGGAUCGUAAAACCCUGUUGUUAGAGAAGAAAGUGCGUGAGAGUAACUGUUCACGUUUCGACGGUAUCUAACCAGAAAGCCACUGCUAACUACGUG